GACGAACGCUGGCGGCGUGCUUAACACAUGCAAGUCGAACGCUGAAGCUCAGCUUUUGUUGGGUGGAUGAGUGGCGAACGGGUGAGUAACACGUGAGUAACCUGCCCCCUUCUUUGGGAUAACGCCCGGAAACGGGUGCUAAUACUGGAUAUUCACUGGUCUUCGCAUGGGGGUUGGUGGAAAGGGUUUUUCUGGUGGGGAUGGGCUCGCGGCCUAUCAGCUUGUUGGUGGGGUGAUGGCCUACCAAGGCUUUGACGGGUAGCCGGCCUGAGAGGGUGACCGGUCACAUUGGGACUGAGAUACGGCCCAGACUCCUACGGGAGGCAGCAGUGGGGAAUAUUGCACAAUGGGCGCAAGCCUGAUGCAGCGACGCCGCGUGAGGGAUGGAGGCCUUCGGGUUGUGAACCUCUUUCGCUCAUGGUCAAGCCGCAACAAUGGUUGUGGUGAGGGUAGUGGGUAAAGAAGCGCCGGCUAACUACGUG
This 482-nucleotide ribosomal RNA is filed under the name uncultured bacterium. Its description in RNAcentral is "partial 16S ribosomal RNA". It matches the Rfam family "Bacterial small subunit ribosomal RNA", at positions 28 to 507 of the family's 1533-position model. The record is from RNAcentral.